This 450-nucleotide ribosomal RNA is filed under the name uncultured bacterium. RNAcentral describes it as "partial 16S ribosomal RNA". It matches the Rfam family "Bacterial small subunit ribosomal RNA", at positions 354 to 796 of the family's 1533-position model. The record is from RNAcentral.
GUGAGGAAUUUUCCGCAAUGGGCGAAAGCCUGAUCCAGCCAUGCCGCGUGUGUGAAGAAGGUCUUCGGAUUGUAAAGCACUUUAAGUUGGGAGGAAGGGCAGUAAGCUAAUACCUUGCUGUUUUGACGUUACCGACAGAAUAAGCACCGGCUAACUUCGUGCCAGCAGCCGCGGUAAUACGAAGGGUGCUAGCGUUAAUCGGAAUUACUGGGCGUAAAGCGCGCGUAGGUGGUUCAGCAAGUUGGAGGUGAAAUCCCCGGGCUCAACCUGGGAACUGCCUCCAAAACUACUGAGCUAGAGUACGGUAGAGGGUAGUGGAAUUUCCUGUGUAGCGGUGAAAUGCGUAGAUAUAGGAAGGAACACCAGUGGCGAAGGCGACUACCUGGACUGAUACUGACACUGAGGUGCGAAAGCGUGGGGAGCAAACAGGAUUAGAUACCCUUGUAGUCC